AAUGAAAAGAUAUUUUAAGCAGAGGAAAUAAGAGGAAUGCGUUAUGAUUUGACGGUUUCGGGCUUGGAUUUGGUGAUAAAAGCGUUGGAGUAGAUAACUCCAGCAAGUCCACCACCAAUAAGUGGACCAAUCCAAUAAACCUAAUGUCCUGAAAAAUUUCCAACGGCAAGAGAUGAUCCAAAAGAACGUCCAGGGUUCAUUGGACCACCAGAGAAUGGGCCGGCUGCAAGAAUGUUAGCACCAACGAUGAGUCUGAUAGCAAGUGGAGCGAUGGUUCCGAGAGUGCCAUUGUUGGAGUCAAUGGCUGUGGCGUAAACAGUGUAGACCAAUGCGAAUGUGAUUAUGAUCUCCAUCACUACUCUUUGUGUUGAUCCUACUCUAACCGCAACGCUGUGGAUUGGAAUCGCCUGCGUUUAAAAGAAUUUUU
RNAcentral lists this small RNA (427 nucleotides) under Arabidopsis thaliana (thale cress). Its description in RNAcentral is "ATSL052710". Lineage: Eukaryota; Viridiplantae; Streptophyta; Magnoliopsida; Brassicales; Brassicaceae. The record is from RNAcentral.